UCGAAACUUCGUCAUGCAACAGGCUAACCAUUUUAUGACGAGAUUCGCGAAAAAUUUCUAUUCUAGACAGAGUCUUCAUGCUAACCAUACAAUGUGUAUACUUUGGGGGCUAACACUACACAAUCUCGAAACUUAAACUUAUGUUUUUUCCCCCUCAAAUUUCGGGUAUAAAGCUUCACUUCAACAAAGUCUCCCAAAAUCAUUACAUGAUGAAUAUAUAUGACAAAUAUAUAAAAGGACAAAAAUUAAACAAGAUAAUAAAAAAAACACAAGAAAAAAUAUAAAUAAAAUUAACACAUAUCACAAAACUA
This 311-nucleotide long non-coding RNA is filed under the name Lathyrus oleraceus (garden pea). RNAcentral's name for it is "Pisum sativum (pea) long non-coding RNA (PSAT_LNC036032)". Lineage: Eukaryota; Viridiplantae; Streptophyta; Magnoliopsida; Fabales; Fabaceae. The record is from RNAcentral.